CACGGGGGGAGCAAGCGUUGUUCGGAAUCACUGGGCGUAAAGGGCGUGUAGGCGGUCAGGUAAGUGGGAUGUGAAAUGCCCCGGCUCACCCGGGGAUCUGCAUCCCAUACUGCUUGGCUUGAGUACGGGAGAGGAUGAGGGGAUUCCCGGUGUAGAGGUGAAAUUCGUAGAUAUCGGGAGGAAUACCGGUGGCGAAGGCGACUUUCUGGACGAAUACUGACGCUGAGGCGCGAAAGCGUGGGGAGCAAACAGGAUUAGAAACCCCUGUAGU
Molecule: ribosomal RNA, 271 nt
Filed under: uncultured bacterium
Lineage: Bacteria
Description: partial 16S ribosomal RNA
Rfam family: Bacterial small subunit ribosomal RNA
Source: RNAcentral